Molecule: ribosomal RNA, 795 nt
Filed under: uncultured bacterium
Lineage: Bacteria
Description: bacterial SSU rRNA
Rfam family: Bacterial small subunit ribosomal RNA
Source: RNAcentral
UUAAUCGGAAUUACUGGGCGUAAAGCGCACGCAGGCGGUCUGUCAAGUCGGAUGUGAAAUCCCCGGGCUCAACCUGGGAACUGCAUCCGAAACUGGCAGGCUAGAGUCUUGUAGAGGGGGGUAGAAUUCCAGGUGUAGCGGUGAAAUGCGUAGAGAUCUGGAGGAAUACCGGUGGCGAAGGCGGCCCCCUGGACAAAGACUGACGCUCAGGUGCGAAAGCGUGGGGAGCAAACAGGAUUAGAUACCCUGGUAGUCCACGCCGUAAACGAUGUCGACUUGGAGGUUGUGCCCUUGAGGCGUGGCUUCCGGAGCUAACGCGUUAAGUCGACCGCCUGGGGAGUACGGCCGCAAGGUUAAAACUCAAAUGAAUUGACGGGGGCCCGCACAAGCGGUGGAGCAUGUGGUUUAAUUCGAUGCAACGCGAAGAACCUUACCUACUCUUGACAUCCAGAGAACUUAGCAGAGAUGCUUUGGUGCCUUCGGGAACUCUGAGACAGGUGCUGCAUGGCUGUCGUCAGCUCGUGUUGUGAAAUGUUGGGUUAAGUCCCGCAACGAGCGCAACCCUUAUCCUUUGUUGCCAGCGAUUCGGCCGGGAACUCAAAGGAGACUGCCAGUGAUAAACUGGAGGAAGGUGGGGAUGACGUCAAGUCAUCAUGGGAGAGCAAGCGGACCUCAUAAAGUGCGUCGUAGUCCGGAUUGGAGUCUGCAACUCGACUCCAUGAAGUCGGAAUCGCUAGUAAUCGUAGAUCAGAAUGCUACGGUGAAUACGUUCCCGGGCCUUGUACACACCGCCCG